RNAcentral lists this ribosomal RNA (1424 nucleotides) under Microbacterium sp. MU4Y-5-1. RNAcentral's name for it is "bacterial SSU rRNA". It matches the Rfam family "Bacterial small subunit ribosomal RNA". Lineage: Bacteria; Bacillati; Actinomycetota; Actinomycetes; Micrococcales; Microbacteriaceae. The record is from RNAcentral.
GCAGUCGACGGUGAGGGGAGCUUGCUCUCUGGAUCAGUGGCGAACGGGUGAGUAACACGUGAGCAAUCUGCCCCUGACUCUGGGAUAACAGUUGGAAACAGCUGCUAAUACUGGAUACGAGACGUGAAGGCAUCUUCAACGUCUGGAAAGAAUUUCGGUCAGGGAUGAGCUCGCGGCCUAUCAGCUUGUUGGUGAGGUAACGGCUCACCAAGGCGUCGACGGGUAGCCGGCCUGAGAGGGUGACCGGCCACACUGGGACUGAGACACGGCCCAGACUCCUACGGGAGGCAGCAGUGGGGAAUAUUGCACAAUGGGCGAAAGCCUGAUGCAGCAACGCCGCGUGAGGGACGACGGCCUUCGGGUUGUAAACCUCUUUUAGCAGGGAAGAAGCGAAAGUGACGGUACCUGCAGAAAAAGCACCGGCUAACUACGUGCCAGCAGCCGCGGUAAUACGUAGGGUGCAAGCGUUAUCCGGAAUUAUUGGGCGUAAAGAGCUCGUAGGCGGUUUGUCGCGUCUGCUGUGAAAACCCGAGGCUCAACCUCGGGCCUGCAGUGGGUACGGGCAGACUAGAGUGCGGUAGGGGAGAUUGGAAUUCCUGGUGUAGCGGUGGAAUGCGCAGAUAUCAGGAGGAACACCGAUGGCGAAGGCAGAUCUCUGGGCCGUAACUGACGCUGAGGAGCGAAAGGGUGGGGAGCAAACAGGCUUAGAUACCCUGGUAGUCCACCCCGUAAACGUUGGGAACUAGUUGUGGGGUCCAUUCCACGGAUUCCGUGACGCAGCUAACGCAUUAAGUUCCCCGCCUGGGGAGUACGGCCGCAAGGCUAAAACUCAAAGGAAUUGACGGGGACCCGCACAAGCGGCGGAGCAUGCGGAUUAAUUCGAUGCAACGCGAAGAACCUUACCAAGGCUUGACAUAUACGAGAACGCUGCAGAAAUGUAGAACUCUUUGGACACUCGUAAACAGGUGGUGCAUGGUUGUCGUCAGCUCGUGUCGUGAGAUGUUGGGUUAAGUCCCGCAACGAGCGCAACCCUCGUUCUAUGUUGCCAGCACGUAAUGGUGGGAACUCAUGGGAUACUGCCGGGGUCAACUCGGAGGAAGGUGGGGAUGACGUCAAAUCAUCAUGCCCCUUAUGUCUUGGGCUUCACGCAUGCUACAAUGGCCGGUACAAAGGGCUGCAAUACCGUAAGGUGGAGCGAAUCCCAAAAAGCCGGUCCCAGUUCGGAUUGAGGUCUGCAACUCGACCUCAUGAAGUCGGAGUCGCUAGUAAUCGCAGAUCAGCAACGCUGCGGUGAAUACGUUCCCGGGUCUUGUACACACCGCCCGUCAAGUCAUGAAAGUCGGCAACACCUGAAGCCGGUGGCCCAACCCUUGUGGAGGGAGCCGUCGAAGGUGGGAUCGGUAAUUAGGACUAAGUCGUAACAA